CAGGGAGGCCUCCAUGUAGGCCUCAGUGAAGCCUGAACUGGAGUAGGCUUGCAGGGAGGCCCCUAGCAAGCAAGGAAGGAGGCAGGCAGGCAGAGUGGCCCCCACAGCUCUCUGCAGCAGACCCUCUGCCCAGCCCAGCAUUUGCCAGGAUUCCUGUCACUAGUGAUUUAACGUCAUUGUCAGCAGUCAUCACAAACUGCAUGGGAUAGCAUUAGCACACUCUCCAAAAGAACAGUGCUUUGAAAUCAGAAUGCAAAAGGGGAAAAAAAAUAAAGCGUAAUUACACUGAAAUGGGAGGGGCUGAUUUAAAAGAAUGCUUUGAAAGGAUAUUGAUCUAUUUCCGACUUACAGCAGAAAAGAAAGAAAAUGGUAAUUAUAGCAAGUCCACUCAGGCUGCUUUACUUGAAGACUCAUCUACCCAUCUGCAAAGGAAAACUGAAGAGCUGUGUUAGAAGCCCCAACAAAAAUGCAGUGGAGGUGUAUUUCAGACAUACAGAGAGAGAGAGAGAAUUUUUAAAGCUGCAAACGGAACUACAUACAAGUAUCUGGAUCCCUGAAGGAAGCUGUUAAUAAAAAAAUAAUAGUAUACAUUUAAAGGUGACAGAAAAUACUGUGGCAAAAUGAAGCCAUGGCUCCUUGGAGAUGUCUAACAUAUGCUGGCACAGAUGCUACCAGACGUCCCCCACUGGGAGUGAUUAUUGAAUAUUAGAGAAAUUUGUACGGACGAGGAUUAAGGCUUUUGGAGGAAACCAUGUCAUUGCUCUGCCACAGAAAAGAACAAAAGACACACAGCCAAAGUUCAAGUUUCUAGGUUGCUGUCCUUUGAUAUAUGUAAAGUAUUACAUGUCUGAGCAACAGUGGGUUAAUGUGAAGAUCGCCUGUCUCUGGAGACUGAAGUUUAAAUGUAGGUCAGUGCCUGGCGGUAUCUGUUUGAGCUGAAGUAUAAAAAUGUUGAACUUCCU
This is a long non-coding RNA of Hemicordylus capensis (graceful crag lizard), 962 nucleotides long. RefSeq lists it as uncharacterized. The record is from RefSeq and is a predicted model, not a curated record. The transcript has 4 exons. Lineage: Eukaryota; Metazoa; Chordata; Lepidosauria; Squamata; Cordylidae.